GAGUGGAAGAAAACGAAAUAACAAAGUUUAGUCCAUUGAUAAAAAGUUAGUCUUCUCUUACGAGGAUAUGAAAUUGCUAUUCGCUUCUGUCAAUAAUCAAAUAUCGUAGGAGCUGUCUUUCCGAACGAUAUGCCGAAGAGGAGUGUUGGUAGGGUGUUUUAUAUAUGGUCGUUUUUUCUUCAGUGUCUUCAAAAUCUUCCUUUAGUCAGACUAAAAUGGGUACUUUAUGGAGUUCGUACGUUACACAUCCCGAUAUAACGCCAGAGGCUGAAACUGCGCCGACUUUUGAUCCAUUGUAUGGAUUUCAAAACGGUCGAAAAGCGAGAGUUAUGAUUGCCACGGAUGCAGAAAUGAAGGCAGCCAGAAUACCGAAGAGAUUCAGAGAUUAUUGCGCUCAUAAAUUCUUAGAAUUGGAAGACUGCAAAAAAUAUCAUUUUCCCAUGAUGAACAAGUGCGAUCAUCAGAAUCACGCUUAUCAACAAUGCCAAUACGAGGAUUAUGUUCUGCGGAUGAAGGAAUUUGAAAGGGAACGCAGGCUUUCGGAAAGACAGAAGAGGAAACAGCAAGCUGCGGCUGCUUGAAGGAGUUGUCUCGUAGAUGUAUAGGAAUGUUGAAAUUUAUUGCUCGCAAUUUAGAAUUCGCAAUCAUGGACGACUUUCGUGGCGGUUAUAAAAUAAAGAGGAUACGACUGGAAAGAAAUGAUAUUGUAGUUGGCGUUACAAAAGGAGAAAAUACAUAUUUACAAAACAUUCUGCUCGUGGACGUAACAAUCCUAUCGUCUAGAUCCUAAUCUAGAUCGUGGUUCUCUCUUCGUGCUUCGCGAAUAGGCUGUCGAGAUCGUCGUCGAGUAGCGACAAGGCUCGUUCGCUCAUUUCUUUCCAAAAUUGUUAGGGUCGGUUACAACAGUUUGGAACAAUUGCUUCCGACGCGAUCGCUUCGCGCUCGUCCAAUUUUGAUCGAACGCGUCGAGUAAUUCGUACCGCGUGUAUUACUGCCUCGUGACGCUUUCGUAGGAACAAAGCGAAGGGAUAAAAGACCUUUAUUAUACAAAGCUGCAUACGUGGAAAGAUUGGCUCGGCCGUUCACUUUGGA
This is an RNA transcript of Vespula vulgaris, 1092 nucleotides long. It is a transcript of the gene named NADH dehydrogenase [ubiquinone] 1 beta subcomplex subunit 7, with no coding region annotated. NCBI's taxonomy places the organism in Eukaryota, Metazoa, Arthropoda, Insecta, Hymenoptera, Vespidae. The record is from RefSeq and is a predicted model, not a curated record. The transcript is spliced from 4 exons.